RNAcentral lists this long non-coding RNA (261 nucleotides) under Manihot esculenta (cassava). RNAcentral's name for it is "long non-coding RNA (MESC_LNC007149)". The record is from RNAcentral. Lineage: Eukaryota; Viridiplantae; Streptophyta; Magnoliopsida; Malpighiales; Euphorbiaceae.
ACUGUCUUGCUAACAGAUGAGCAGCCUUAUUCGCACUACGUCUAAUCCAGCAUAACGAAAUAAAUGGACAAAGAAGCAGAAUAUCUUUACAAUCCGAAACAAUGACGCCAAACUCAGAAAAGUCCUCCGAAUUAGAGCGAAUGGCAAAGAAUAAAACCUGACUAUCAAUGAAAAUACUUCCAGCCUGCAGGAAAGCAUCACGAGCAUACAUUAAACAUUGACGCAAGGCCAAUGCCUCAGCAAUAGCAGGAGAACCACGAC